Molecule: ribosomal RNA, 466 nt
Filed under: uncultured bacterium
Lineage: Bacteria
Description: partial 16S ribosomal RNA
Rfam family: Bacterial small subunit ribosomal RNA
Source: RNAcentral
GACGAACGCUGGCGGCGUGCUUAACACAUGCAAGUCGAACGGAAAGGCCCUGCUUUUGUGGGGUGCUCGAGUGGCGAACGGGUGAGUAACACGUGAGUAACCUGCCCUUGACUUUGGGAUAACUUCAGGAAACUGGGGCUAAUACCGGAUAGGAGCUCCUGCUGCAUGGUGGGGGUUGGAAAGUUUCGGCGGUUGGGGAUGGACUCGCGGCUUAUCAGCUUGUUGGUGGGGUAGUGGCUUACCAAGGCUUUGACGGGUAGCCGGCCUGAGAGGGUGACCGGCCACAUUGGGACUGAGAUAGGGCCGAGUCUCCUACGGGAGGCAGCAGUGGGGAAUAUUGCACAAUGGGCGGAAGCGUGAUGCAGCAACGCCGCGUGCGGGAUGACGGCCUUCGGGUUGUAAACCGCUUUCGCCUGAGACGAAGCGUGAGUGACGGUAAUGGGUAAAGAAGCACCGGCUAACUACG